AGUGAACGCUGGCGGUAGGCCUAACACAUACAAGUCGAACGGCAGCACAGUAAGCGCUUGCUCUUACGGGUGGCGAGUGGCGGACGGGUGACGAAUACAUCGGAAUCUACUUUUUCGUGGGGGAUAACGGAGGGAAACUUACGCUAAUACCGCAUACGACCUACGGGUGAAAGCAGUGGAUCUUCGGACCUUGCGCGAUUCAAUGAGCCGAUGUCGGAUUAGCUAGUUGGCGGGGUAAAGGCCCACCAAGGCGACGAUCCGUAGCUGGUCUGAGAGGAUGAUCAGCCACACUGGAACUGAGACACGGUCCAGACUCCUACGGGAGGCAGCAGUGGGGAAUAUUGGACAAAGGGCGAAAGCCUGAUCCAGCCAUACCGCGUGGGUGAAGAAGGCCUUCGGGUUGUAAAGCCCUUUUGUUGGGAAAGAAAAGCAGCAGGUUAAUACCUCGAUGUUCUGACGGUACCCAAAGAAUAAGCACCGGCUAACUUCGUG
This 492-nucleotide ribosomal RNA is filed under the name uncultured bacterium. Its description in RNAcentral is "partial 16S ribosomal RNA". It matches the Rfam family "Bacterial small subunit ribosomal RNA", at positions 29 to 507 of the family's 1533-position model. The record is from RNAcentral.